RNAcentral lists this ribosomal RNA (808 nucleotides) under uncultured Planctomycetota bacterium. RNAcentral's name for it is "bacterial SSU rRNA". It matches the Rfam family "Bacterial small subunit ribosomal RNA", at positions 46 to 832 of the family's 1533-position model. The record is from RNAcentral. Lineage: Bacteria; Pseudomonadati; Planctomycetota.
GGAUUAGGCAUGCAAGUCGCACGAGAAAGGCUUCUUCGGAAGCCGAGUAAAGUGGCGAACGGGUGAGUAAUGCAUAGACAACUUGCCCUUGAGAUGGGGACAACGCCUCGAAAGGGGUGCUAAUACCCAAUGCCGCCUUGGGCCUGCGGGUCCAGGGUGAAAGGAGGCCUCUGAUUCAAGCUUCCGCUCAAGGAGAGGUUUAUGUCCUAUUAGCUAGUUGGCGGGGUAACGGCCCACCAAGGCUGCGAUGGGUAGCCGGCCUGAGAGGGUGACCGGCCACAUUGGGACUGAGACACUGCCCAGACUCCUACGGGAGGCUGCAGUCGAGAAUCUUCCGCAAUGCGCGCAAGCGUGACGGAGCGACGCCGCGUGGGUGAUGAAGGCCUUCGGGUUGUAAAACCCUGUCAGCUACUACGAAACACGGGCGAUGAACAAUCGUCCCGUCUGACUUAAGUAGCAGAGGAAGCACCGGCUAACUACGUGCCAGCAGCCGCGGUAAUACGUAGGGUGCAAACGUCGUUCGGAAUCACUGGGCAUAAAGGGCGCGUAGGCGGUCUGAUAAGUCAGGUGUGAAAUCCCUCGGCCUAACCGAGGAACUGCAUUUGAUACUGUCGGGCUAGAGUACAGGAGGGGAGAGUGGAAUUCCUGGUGGAGCGGUGAAAUGCGUAGAUAUCAGGAGGAACGCCGGCGGCGAAAGCGACUCUCUGGCCUGUUACUGACGCUGAGGCGCGAAAGCUAGGGGAGCAAACGGGAUUAGAUACCCCGGUAGUCCUAGCCCUAAACGAUGGGCACUAAGUAGAGGGGUUUU